Molecule: ribosomal RNA, 550 nt
Filed under: Xylaria sp.
Lineage: Eukaryota; Fungi; Ascomycota; Sordariomycetes; Xylariales; Xylariaceae
Description: eukaryotic LSU rRNA
Rfam family: 5.8S ribosomal RNA (bases 180-333)
Source: RNAcentral
CCUUGGUACGCGGAGGACAUUAUAGAGUUCUACAACUCCCAAACCCAUGUGAACAUACCUCUCGUUGCCUCGGCAGGCGCCGUCCUACCCCUCGUAGGUAGGCGAAACCUGCCGACGGCCCCCGAAACUCUGUUUAUUAUAGCAUUAGACCUCUGAAAAAAGAUAACUAAAUCAGUUAAAACUUUCAACAACGGAUCUCUUGGUUCUGGCAUCGAUGAAGAACGCAGCGAAAUGCGAUAAGUAAUGUGAAUUGCAGAAUUCAGUGAAUCAUCGAAUCUUUGAACGCACAUUGCGCCCACCAGUAUUCUGGUGGGCAUGCCUGUUCGAGCGUCAUUUCAACCCUUAAGCCCUGGUUGCUUAGCGUUGGGAGCCUACCGGACCCCGUCCCGUAGCUCCCCAAAGUCAGUGGCGGAGCCGGUUUAACACUCCAGACGUAGUAGCUUUUACACAUCGCCUGUAGCCUAAGCCCGGCGCCCUGCCGUAAAACACCCCCCAAUGUAUAGGUUGACCUCGGAUCAGGUAGGAAUACCCGCUGAACUUAAGCAUAUCU